This 463-nucleotide ribosomal RNA is filed under the name uncultured bacterium. RNAcentral describes it as "bacterial SSU rRNA". It matches the Rfam family "Bacterial small subunit ribosomal RNA", at positions 339 to 794 of the family's 1533-position model. The record is from RNAcentral.
AUACGGGAGGCAGCAGUGGGGAAUUUUGGACAAUGGGGGCAACCCUGAUCCAGCCAUUCCGCGUGAGUGAAGAAGGCCUUCGGGUUGUAAAGCUCUUUUGUCCGGAACGAAACGGGUGCGGUGAAUAUCCGCAUCUACUGACGGUACCGGAAGAAUAAGCACCGGCUAACUACGUGCCAGCAGCCGCGGUAAUACGUAGGGUGCGAGCGUUAAUCGGAAUUACUGGGCGUAAAGCGUGCGCAGGCGGUUUUGUAAGCCAGAUGUGAAAUCCCCGGGCUCAACCUGGGAAUGGCAUUUGGGACUGCAAGGCUUGAGUGCGGCAGAGGAGACUGGAAUUCCUGGUGUAGCAGUGAAAUGCGUAGAUAUCAGGAGGAAUACCGAUGGCGAAGGCAGGUCUCUGGGCUGACACUGACGCUCAUGCACGAAAGCGUGGGGAGCAAACAGGAUUAGAUACCCCGGUAGC